AGAGUUUGAUCCUGGCUCAGGAUGAACGCUAGCGGCAGGCUUAACACAUGCAAGUCGAGGGGUAUAAGUCUUCGGAUUUAGAGACCGGCGCACGGGUGCGUAACGCGUAUGCAAUCUACCUUUUACAGAGGGAUAGCCCAGAGAAAUUUGGAUUAAUACCUCAUAGUAUAUAGAGUUGGCAUCAACACUAUAUUAAAGUCACAACGGUAAAAGAUGAGCAUGCGUCCCAUUAGCUUGUUGGUAGGGUAACGGCUUACCAAGGCUACGAUGGGUAGGGGUCCUGAGAGGGAGAUCCCCCACACUGGUACUGAGACACGGACCAGACUCCUACGGGAGGCAGCAGUGAGGAAUAUUGGUCAAUGGACGCAAGUCUGAACCAGCCAUGCCGCGUGCAGGAUGACGGUCCUAUGGAUUGUAAACUGCUUUUGCACAGGAAGAAACAACUCUACGUGUAGAAUCUUGACGGUACUGUGAGAAUAAGGAUCGGCUAACUCCGUGCCAGCAGCCGCGGUAAUACGGAGGAUCCAAGCGUUAUCCGGAAUCAUUGGGUUUGAAGGGUCCGUAGGCGGUUUAGUAAGUCAGUGGUGAAAGCCCAUCGCUCAACGGUGGAACGGCCAUUGAUACUGCUAAACUUGAAUUAUUAGGAAGUAACUAGAAUAUGUAGUGUAGCGGUGAAAUGCUUAGAGAUUACAUGGAAUACCAAUUGCGAAGGCAGGUUACUACUAAUGGAUUGACGCUGAUGGACGAAAGCGUGGGUAGCGAACAGGAUUAGAUACCCUGGUAGUCCACGCCGUAAACGAUGGAUACUAGCUGUUGGAAGCAAUUUCAGUGGCUAAGCGAAAGUGAUAAGUAUCCCACCUGGGGAGUACGUUCGCAAGAAUGAAACUCAAAGGAAUUGACGGGGGCCCGCACAAGCGGUGGAGCAUGUGGUUUAAUUCGAUGAUACGCGAGGAACCUUACCAAGGCUUAAAUGUAGAUUGACCGGUUUGGAAACAGACUUUUCGCAAGACAAUUUACAAGGUGCUGCAUGGUUGUCGUCAGCUCGUGCCGUGAGGUGUCAGGUUAAGUCCUAUAACGAGCGCAACCCCUGUUGUUAGUUGCCAGCGAGUCAUGUCGGGAACUCUAACAAGACUGCCAGUGUAAACUGUGAGGAAGGUGGGGAUGACGUCAAAUCAUCACGGCCCUUACGCCUUGGGCUACACACGUGCUACAAUGGCCGGUACAGAGAGCAGCCACUGGGCGACCAGGAGCGAAUCUACAAAACCGGUCACAGUUCGGAUCGGAGUCUGCAACUCGACUCCGUGAAGCUGGAAUCGCUAGUAAUCGGAUAUCAGCCAUGAUCCGGUGAAUGCGUUCCCGGGCCUUGUACACACCGCCCGUCAAGCCAUGGAAGCUGGGGGUGCCUGAAGUCGGUGACCGCAAGGAGCUGCCUAGGGUAAAACUGGUAACUAGGGCUAAGUCGUAACAAGGUA
This 1472-nucleotide ribosomal RNA is filed under the name metagenome. Its description in RNAcentral is "bacterial SSU rRNA". It matches the Rfam family "Bacterial small subunit ribosomal RNA". The record is from RNAcentral.